GUGAACGCUGGCGGUAGGCCUAACCCCUGCAAGUCGCACGGCAGCACAGUAAGAGCUUGCUCUUACGGGUGGCGAGUGGCGGACGGGUGAGGAAUACAUCGGAAUCUACUUUUUCGUGGGGGAUAACGUAGGGAAACUUACGCUAAUACCGCAUACGACCUACGGGUGAAAGCCGGGGAUCUUCGGACCUUGCGCGAUUGAAUGAGCCGAUGUCGGAUUAGCUAGUUGGCGGGGUAACGGCCCACCAAGGCGACGAUCCGUAGCUGGUCUGAGAGGAUGAUCAGCCACACUGGAACUGAGACACGGUCCAGACUCCUACGGGAGGCAGCAGUGGGGAAUAUUGGACAAUGGGCGCAAGCCUGAUCCAGCCAUACCGCGUGGGUGAAGAAGGCCUUCGGGUUGUAAAGCCCUUUUGUUGGGAAAGAAAAGCAGCAGGUUAAUACCCCGCUGUUCUGACGGUACCCAAAGAAUAAGCACCGGCUAACUUCGUG
Molecule: ribosomal RNA, 491 nt
Filed under: uncultured bacterium
Lineage: Bacteria
Description: partial 16S ribosomal RNA
Rfam family: Bacterial small subunit ribosomal RNA
Source: RNAcentral